GACGGGCACCCGCACAAGCAGUGGAGUAUGUUGAUUAAUUCGACGCAACGCGAAGAACCUUACCAGGGUUUGACAUCCUAGGAAUCGACAAGAGAUUGUUGAGUGCCCUUCGGGGAACCUAGAGACAGGUGGUGCAUGGUUGUCGUCAGCUCGUGUCGUGAGAUGUUGGGUUAAGUCCCGCAACGAGCGCAACCCUUAUUGUUAGUUGCUACGCAAGAGCACUCUAGCGAGACUGCCGUUGACAAAACGGAGGAAGGUGGGGACGACGUCAAAUCAUCAUGCCCCUUAUAUCCUGGGCCUCAAACGUACUACAAUGGCGAAGUACAAAGGGAUGCAAAAUCGUGAGAUAGAGCGAACCCCAAAAAUUCGUCCCAGUUCGGAUUGCAGGCUGCAACCCGCCUGCAUGAAGUCGGAAUUGCUAGUAAUCGCGGAUCAGCAUGCCGCGGUGAAUACGUUCCCGGGUGUUGUACACACCGCCCGUCAAGCCAUGAGAGUCGCGAACACCCGAAGCCUGUAGUCUAACCGCAAGGGGGACGCAGUCGAAGGUGGGCGUGGUGAUUGGGGCUAAGUCGUAACAAGGUAGCCGUAUCGGAA
This 594-nucleotide ribosomal RNA is filed under the name uncultured bacterium. RNAcentral describes it as "bacterial SSU rRNA". It matches the Rfam family "Bacterial small subunit ribosomal RNA", at positions 912 to 1510 of the family's 1533-position model. The record is from RNAcentral.